AUUGAACGCUGGCGGCAUGCUUUACACAUGCAAGUCGAGCGGUAACAGGCCUUCGGGUGCUGACGAGUGGCGAACGGGUGAGUAAUGCAUCGGAACGUACCCAGAGGUGGGGGAUAACGCAGCGAAAGCUGUGCUAAUACCGCAUGUGAUCUGAGGAUGAAAGCGGGGGACCGAGCAGCAAUGUUUGGCCUCGCGCCUUUGGAGCGGCCGAUGUCGGAUUAGCUAGUUGGUGGGGUAAAGGCCUACCAAGGCGACGACCCGUAGCUGGUCUGAGAGGACGACCAGCCACACUGGGACUGAGACACGGCCCAGACUCCUACGGGAGGCAGCAGUGGGGAAUUUUGGACAAUGGGCGCAAGCCUGAUCCAGCAAUGCCGCGUGCGGGAAGAAGGCCUUCGGGUUGUAAACCGCUUUUGGCAGGAACGAAACGGUGUCCGCUAAUACCGGGCGCUAAUGACGGUACCUGCAGAAUAAGCACCGGCUAACUACGUG
Molecule: ribosomal RNA, 492 nt
Filed under: uncultured bacterium
Lineage: Bacteria
Description: partial 16S ribosomal RNA
Rfam family: Bacterial small subunit ribosomal RNA
Source: RNAcentral